Monodelphis domestica (gray short-tailed opossum) is the source of this 5581-nucleotide non-coding RNA. The record is from RefSeq and is a predicted model, not a curated record. Lineage: Eukaryota; Metazoa; Chordata; Mammalia; Didelphimorphia; Didelphidae.
UUUUCUACCCCAAUACUAGAUAAUAAUGGCUACUAUUUAUAGUGCUCUUUGAGUUUUCUGAAGUGUCUUCUGUAUGGUAUCUUGUUAACAUAAUAGAGAGGGAGCUGGUCUCAAAGACUUGCUGCCCUGGGUUCAAGCCCCACGUCCCUUCCUCUGACACACGUUGACUGAGUGAUCCUGUUUGGUUCUGUAAUCACCCAGUAUUCUCUAAGCCCAGCUGCACUGAAGGAGAAAGUUUCCUCUUCUCCAAGUUCUUCAUAUCAGUGAGAUCAUGUGCCCAAUUCCAGUAUCAAUCCUAUCUCAGGGGUUAAGAAGGGGCCUGAUACAUGCUGGAAGUCAAUAAAAAAAGCUCAUUAUGUUCAAUUGAAUUGGAUCAAAAUGAAUCCUAAAUGUCGGAAUGGAAAGGUAGGGAGUGGAACAGAGUCAGUGUGGGAGUCGGAGGGCAUAUAAGAGGAGCAAUGCAGAACAUUAGGAAAACAGAUCCUGUGCGUUAAUGAGAAGAGCUCACCUGUCCAUGUGCAAUUUAAUUCAGCAAUUAGGCAUAAACUGCCCACUAUGGGUGAGGUGCUGGCUAGACAAAGACCCAUGUAAGCCAGAUCUGCUACCAAUGAGCAUUAACAGAGGAAACAAAGACAAUCCAGGGAAGAGUGGGCUGAGUGCAGAGAAAUGGUCCAGGCACAGUGUUCGGUGGGUGACUCGAGAAGGAAGGGGCCACUUUCAGUCAGCAUCUGAUCAAGGGAGGCUCUGUGCCCGAGGAGACAGCUAAGCUAUGGCACAGACAGAGAUGGAGAGUCAAUCUCAGGCAUGAAGGGUGCUACGCACAAGUGUCCAGAGAUGGGAACUGUCAGGACAAAACGAAGACUGAAGAAGGGCCCAGUGUGGCCAGGACACAGAGCUCCUGAAAGAGAGGGAUCCGACCUGAGGCCGGAAAGCAGAGGCCCCAUCACAGAAGGCCCUGAAUUCCAAGCUUAUCUGCUCAGCAACAGAGAGCUGGAAGAUUGCGGGCAGAUACUGACCCAGCAGAGCAGGGUUGGCCAGAUGUCUCGGGCAUCAGUUUGAAAGGGGGAUUGUGAAUGGGAUGGUGGUUCAGCGCUCAGCUGUGACUUGGACUUCUAUCUCCCAGGAGCAAAACCACUUGCAGGAUGUAGCAGUAGAGAAGGCAUUGAUGUGUUCACUAACAUUCUGCCUUAUGAUCUUCCAUUGCUACAUGGUGUCACAUAUCCCUGAGACCCUACGAGAGAAGCACAGAGGCAGCAAGAUGGAGAGAGUGGCAACCUGGGGGCAAGUCUAUUUUAUAGUAACAUAGACAGGUGGAUGACCAUCAGGUGAAGACCAGGGGAGACAGUCCCUACUGGAAGAAGCACAUGGCAUCCCUCAUGCCAGCACCCUGGGGCAAAGUCCCACUCAUCCCAUAUCUGAACUAGAGGAAGAAGACCAAUUUGGAGCCUCUUGCAAUUAGGUACACCCUGGUCUGCGGCGCUUGCCAGGGGAUGAAAAUAUAGGGGAGAGACGUGGGACAUGUUACAGAAAUAGAAUCGAGAAGAACGGGCAUCUGACUGAGCAUGGGACUGAUCGAGAGGGAGGAGGCAAAGAGGAACCCAGGUCUUGUCUGGGGGCUUGUUGAAUCGGUUGAUUGAUGGUGGGGCCAUCAACAAGAAGUGAUGAAUAGAGGAAGAUGGACAUUUGAUGCUGGGGAAGGAUAGAGUUUGAACAGUUGAAUUUGAGGUGUUCCAGGAGCAUCGAUAUGGAGACAUCCAGCUGAUCCUUGGAUAUAGGAAGUGUAGCUCUGGAGAGAGUUUCUGGGUGGAGGGGAGUAGCUCAUGUGCCUGAGAUGCCCUGAUUCACUUCUUUAUUGGUACCUCCAUGCCUGGCACAUAGUAGGCAUUUAAUACAAACUCAGCUGAUUGAAAAUCGUGAUUUGGAAGCCAACUGCAUAGAGGCAAUAAGUGAAACAUACAUUUGGCUCAGCUCAUCCAAGGAUUGGUGUACAAGGAAGGAAGAAGAAAGCCCAUGACAGAGCCAUGGAAAAGGAGUCGAUUAAGGAGGCAGAGAAGCCACACCAGAGAGGUACUAUGUCAUAGGACUUUCCUAAUUGGGGACACAUACAGGAAAGGGAAUCAUCUGGCCCAUUUAAAGCAGACGAUAAAAGAUGCAAGAGCAUGGCAGAAAUCCACCAUUUUAGCAUUGGAGAGGACUAUCUGGUCGAACAAUCUGGUCGAACUCAUAUGUGAGUAAUCCUCCAUUCUGCACCAUCCUUGAUAAGUUUGUUAUCUGAUAUUCUCUGGAAGACCCUAAGCAAGCGAGAACCUGCUUCCCUCUGCCAUUUUGGGGCAACUUUAAAGGCUAUGGAAUUUUCCUAACCUCAAACCUAAAUUACCCUUUUUCUAACUUCCAUUGCCCCAAGGUCUACCUUAUGGAGUCAACUACAAUAAACAUAAUCCAUUUUCCACACUGCAAUCCUUGAACUAUUUGAAGCCAACUCGGCUAGCUCCUCGAGUAUUUUAUGCUUCAGGCUAAAUACUCACCAGAAAUAUCAGGUACUGUUGGGUAUCGCUGGUAGAAUUGGGUUCCAGAGCCAGAACUAGGCUGGGGUUAGCAGGGGGUCAACAUUAGAAAGAAUUUACAAUAGUUUCACUCCUAUAGAAUAGAAAUAACACACCUUAUCCCAUAGUUAGUAAAAACAAUCAAGUGAACUCUUCUUGCUCAUUAGGCUGCCCCAUAAAUGACAUGAGCUCAUCAGUGAACAAGUAAGCCAACAAGUAUUCAUUUUAGUAAGUACUGAGGACACAAAGAAAAAACAAAAGUGCUGACAUUGUAAUGGGGGGACAGCAUGCAAAGAACUGACUAAGUUCACUCUCCAUACAUACUGACAGUAUACUCCGGAGGUAAUCGCAGAGAAAAAGGCACUGGCAGAAGAGGGAGGGUGGGAAGCUUGGGAGAGGCUUCCUGUAAAAGGUGGGAAUUGAGCUAAAUCCUGCCGGAAGCACAAAGGAGGAUAAAGACAGAGAGGACAAUCAGUGAAAAGGCCAAGAACUGAUAGAUGAAGUGUCCUGCACAGAGAGAAACAAGGAGGCCAGUGCAGCUUUAUCAGAGAGUGCAUGAAAUGGAGUAGAGGGUGAAGGAAAGAGAGACGUAGAAAGGGGACAGCUGGAAAGAGACUAAAUGCCAGAGAACUUUCUAUUUGAUCCUGGAAGUAAUAGGGAGCCAAUGGAGUUUAUUGAGUAGGAGUGGAAUGUGGAUAGACAUGGACUUCAGGGGAAUUCCUUUGGCAGUUAGAUGGAGGAUGGAUUUGAGUGAGGAAAGAUUUGACACAGGAAGGGUAAUCAGUUUGCUAUGGUACCAGUGCAGGCAUUAGAUGCUGAGGUCCUUUCCCAGAGAUGGGGCUAGAUAAGUGAAGAGAAGGGGAUGUAUAUGAAAGAUAUUGUGAAGGUAGAAAUGAUUGGGGUCCCAGCAAGUGAGGAGCAGACAGUGUGGUAGAGACUUGAAGAGAGAGAGGUUUUGCAGAUCAGGUCCCCAGCUUGUUUCUUGCAUCUUGGCUUGUCCUGCAAAAUCCCUCUCUCUUCAAGUCUCUACCACAACAGUGACCCUGAGGUUGUGAGUCUGGGGGAUGCUACCCUCAAUAGGGAAGUUGGGAAGAGGGGAAUGAUUGAAAGCAAAAAAGUGAGUACAGUUUUGGACAUGUUGAGUUUAAGAUAUCUACAGGACGUCCAUCUCAAAAUGUCCUCUAGGCAGUUGGUGUGAGAGUUGAGGCCAGGAAAUGGAUUAGGACUAAAUCAAAGAUUGGAAUAAGCUUCAGAGACAUGAUGAUUGAAUUUUUGGGAGUUGAUGAGAUUAUCAAGUGAGAUGCUAUAGGGAGAAAUAAGAAGAAGGCCCAGGGAAGGGCCUUGGAGGACACUUAAGGACUUUUAGCAUCCUGGUAACCCUUCCUGGCCACUCUAGCUUAUCAAUGGCCUUGCUAAUAUGAGUUGUCCAGAGCUGAUCACAGUAUUCCAGAUAAGGUCCAACAAGAAGAGAAGAGAGCAGCUCUCCAUAGGCGUAAACAUUCUUUCUUAAAUCCGUUCUUUGUCCAUCUUUUAGGCUACUCAUUGGCUGCUUCAGUGUCCCUUGUCUACUUUGUCUCAGAUAAGGGAUAACCUCUUGGUUAGGCCAUCCUAACCAUGAGCUUCUAGUUAUCUCGUGACCAGGCUCUAGGCCAGUGAUGGGCACCUUUUGAUCUUGCUGUGUCAAAAUUUGCCAAAAGACUGAGCAUAACUCGGGUGGUGUGUCACCUCGAGAAAAAAAGUCCUCAGCAUGCAGCCCCAUACUUCUCUGUAUGCGGUCUCAUGCGACCAUGUGUCAUCGAAAGUGGCUACGUGUGUCAUAGGUUCGCCAUCAUGGCUCUAAGCCCUUCCAUAUGAUCACAUUAUACAGAACAAGGACCUUUGAGAAAUAUGGUGAUUUUUUGAGUGUAGGACACCGACCUCUGGAGUCAGGGCAGGAAGGGUCUUUAUUGCAAAGUAGAUUGAUAAAAAUGAGUCAUAAACAAGCUGACUAACUGCCUAGAAGCUUAGGUGUAAGGCUCACACCCUUAGGGAAAAUACCUUAAUUGACUAAAAAUUAAAACAGACUUUUACUUGAGACAUCAAGACAUUAGUUUUGCACAUUAAGGCAUUAAGCUAGCACUAUAGGGAGAGGGGUAUUGGUUCUGACCCAAACAGGGAAAAGGGGAUGGGCUAGAGAAGAGUGUGUAUGAAUUGUGAUGUGGAAGAUGAUUUGGGACACCUUGCCCUAGUAAUUUCCCUAAAUAAUGAUCAUACAAAAGAGAAAAUACACACACACACACACACACACACACAUGUGCACUCUUUGAUGCUGGAGUAACACUACUAGGUCUGUAACCCAAUGAAAAAGGACCUAUAUUUAAUAUAAACAUACACACAUAUAUAUAUACAUGUACACAUAUGUGUAUGUAUCUUGAUCUAUCUUCUAUAUGUAUAUGUAUACAUAUAUACACAGAGAGAGAUGGAGAGAAAGAGAGAGAGAGAGAGAGAGAGAGAGAGAGAGAGGUAGGAAGAGAACAACUUUUUUUGUUGUUGUUGACAGAGAAUCCAAAGUUGAGGGACUAUCCAUCAAGAGGAGAAUGGACAAACAAUUUGUGCUGUAUGAUUGUGAUGGAAUACUAUUUUGCUAUAGCAUGAUCUAUAGGAUGGUUUCAGAAAAACUGGGAAAGACUUAUAUGAACUGAUGCAAAGUGAAGGGAGCAGAGUCAGGAAGAACAUUGAAUACAAUAAUGCAAAAUUGUACAAUGAUCAGCUGCGAAAGACUUAGCUACCCUGAUCAAGACAAUGAUACAAGACAAUUCCAAGAGACUCAUGAUGAAAAAUGCUCUCCAUCCCCAGAGAGAAAACUAAUAGGCUCUGAGUACAAAUGGAAGCCAACUUUCUUUCACUUUAUUCUCCCCUCCCUUGCAACAUGACUUAUAGGGAAAUAUGUUUUGCAUGAUUUCACAUGAAUAAUGAAUAUCAUAUUGCUUGCCUUCUCAAUGGGUGUCAAAGGGGCUGUAAUGAGGGAGAGAAUUUGGAACUCAAAAUAAAAAAUAAAA